AAGAAAAGUAGAGAAAAAAAAAAAAAAAGAGAAAAAGAAGAGAAAGUGACUCAAGAAGAAGAUAUGGGGGUGUGUGUGUUUUUACUGGGCAUUCCAAGCUCAUGGCAUGUCAUGCCAGGUGAGGAAAUAGUUUACGAUGGUGAAAGUUUUCCCGAAGGCAACCAAGAUGAAAUGUUGGAGCCGUGGUUCACUUGAAGACUUAGACUAGUAGUUUUAUUUUUUUAUUUUUUUGACUUUUUAGCGUGACGAUGUUUGUAAUCCUAUUGCAGAACACAAAUGAAUGAACUAUGGUAUUAACUUUGCUUAUAUGUGUAUAUUAAGAUAUUUUGGUUA
This is a long non-coding RNA of Camellia sinensis, 333 nucleotides long. RefSeq lists it as uncharacterized. The record is from RefSeq and is a predicted model, not a curated record. Lineage: Eukaryota; Viridiplantae; Streptophyta; Magnoliopsida; Ericales; Theaceae.